CUUGGCUACCAUUUCAGGAAUAGUAUUAAAUUUAGGAUUAAGGUAGGAUUAAAAUAUUUUUAUGUUUGGUUGGGAGCUAGGAUUAGUUCAGAAUAGUGAAAAAUAGUAUUUGGUUGAAAUAUGUAGGAUAAGAAUGAUAGUGGUUGGUAAAGUGAUAAAAAGACGAAAAUACCCUCACAUUAAUAUAUUGAAAUAAAAGUUCUUUUUUUGGUUUUUAAAAUUCUAUGCUUGCAAAUAAUUAUGAGGAUUAAAACUAAAUACAUUUUUGCGUAAUUUUGUACCAAAAAAUAUUUUUCACUCUUCUUUUGUAACUUUGAAAUUUUCUAAAAUUUUCAAACAACUAUAUUAAAAUUAUCUUAAUUUUAAAUUUCACUCAUAUUUGUAUUUUUCGAACUAUUUUAAUAUUUUACUUAUAAUUGCAUUUUAAUCCUCUAAAAAUACUAAUUUCCAACCUUUCAAAUUUAGCCCCUAGUGGAGUUGAGUACCGUUAGGUGUUUUCAAAUCCGAUUUGUGCCGAUAACAUUUCUACUUCCAAUAAGUACCUGUAACGAUCACAACACGUACGCUCAACUUUUGCACUUCACUUAUGACGGUCAUACGAGACGUUGCGAAAUUCGAUAAAAAUUAGCAUCGUCAUUCGGAUAUCAUUAAUAAUAUACAAAUAUUUAAGUACACAAGUCAAUCUACACAUCAACGAACAUUUACAAAGAUAACAACACAUUCAAUAAAAAAUAAAUACAUAUACAACCAAAAUAGUUUGAAAGAGUACAAAUAUAUAACAGAGUUAAAAAAAUAAUUACAUCUACCAACAUGAUCUCGCGCACAGACCUCGCGCAGACCUCGCGCAGAGGACGCAACCAACAAUGAAAAU
This 871-nucleotide long non-coding RNA is filed under the name Ananas comosus (pineapple). RNAcentral's name for it is "long non-coding RNA (ACOM_LNC025131)". The record is from RNAcentral. Lineage: Eukaryota; Viridiplantae; Streptophyta; Magnoliopsida; Poales; Bromeliaceae.